Molecule: unclassified non-coding RNA, 695 nt
Filed under: Hevea brasiliensis (rubber tree)
Lineage: Eukaryota; Viridiplantae; Streptophyta; Magnoliopsida; Malpighiales; Euphorbiaceae
Source: RNAcentral
GAUCUAACUGCAGGUUUCCGUGCCUUGGAGGAUGAGACCCGAUGAUUUAGGAGUUUGAAAUUUUGGUUUUGUACGAGUUAGCGGCCAGCACUUUAGUUUCUCUAUUUGUUAGAUUCUAUGAGGAUGCAGUGUUGGUAUGUCUAAUGGUCCAUGUUGUGGUGCAUUGUUUGGCCAAAAUUUUAGUUGGAUUGUGAUAGUUGCUAUAUGUACUAUUUGUUAUAUUUCAUUUUCAGUUCUAUUGGGAUGCAGGGGACAUCAACUGUUCCAUGUGUAUUUAUUCAAUAAGGUGUGAAUUCAGGUGAUGCCAUGAUUUAAUUUAUUAUCGUUUAAAUCUCUCUCCCUCUCUCUCUGAAACGGAUGUUUGAGGUCUCUCAAAUUCUUUCGGGAGUGUUGAUUAUCGUGUGAUUUAAUGUAGUCGAGGCUAUUCGUGCUCCAUUUUUAUUUUUAUUUCCAUGAUAAGGUCUUCGUUCAACUCCUUUCCAUGAUAAUAGACAAACACGUACUGUGUGUAGCUGCAGCAAAAGAGAGAACAAUAUGCCUAAUACCGUUGGGCCAUUUACCUCCGUGGAUAUGCUGUAUUAUUUUCUCUGUUCAUCAAAUGAAAGAGAUUUUGAGAGUAUCGCAACCGAGGAUCAUCUAAAUAUUGCGAGGAGCUAAAUAAAUCCACAAUAAAAGCACGAUAGAAUUUCAUAAGU